Molecule: ribosomal RNA, 2097 nt
Filed under: human gut metagenome
Description: bacterial LSU rRNA
Rfam family: Bacterial large subunit ribosomal RNA
Source: RNAcentral
AAGAUGGGGGGACCAUCCUCCAAGGCUAAAUACUCGUGAUCGACCGAUAGUGAACCAGUACUGUGAAGGAAAGGCGAAAAGAACCCCGGGAGGGGAGUGAAAUAGAACCUGAAACCGCAUACAUACAAACAGUAGGAGCCCCUGCAGUGGGGUGACUGCGUACCUUUUGCAUAAUGGGUCAGCGACUUACGUUUUGUGGCGAGCUUAACCGAGUAGGGGAGGCGUAGCGAAAGCGAGUUCGAAUAGAGCGAAGAGUCUCAAGGCGUAGACCCGAAACCAGAUGAGCUAUCCAUGGCCAGGUUGAAGGUGUGGUAACACACACUGGAGGACCGAACCGACUAGUGUUGCAAAAUUAGCGGAUGAGCUGUGGAUAGGGGUGAAAGGCUUAACAAAUCUGGAGAUAGCUGGUUCUCCCCGAAAACUAUUGAGGUAGUGCCUCGUGUAUUGCUCCAGGGGGUAGAGCACUGUUAUGGCUAGGGGGACAUGGCGUCUUACCAAACCAUGGCAAACUCCGAAUACUUGGAAGUAAGAGCACGGGAGACAGAGCACCGGGUGCUAACGUCCGGACUCAAGAGGGAAACAACCCAGACCGCCGUUUAAGGUCCCAAAUAUUGACUAAGUGGAAAACGAAGUGUGAAGGCUAAGACAGUCAGGAAGUUGGCUUAGAAGCAGCCAUCCUUCAAAGAAAGCGUAAUAGCUCACUGAUCGAGUCCUCAUGCGCGGAAGAUGUAACGGGGCUAAGUCAAUAACCGAAAGCGCGGAUUUGCAUGAAAGUGCAAGUGGUAGGGGAGCGUUCUGUAAGCCUGCGAAGGUGGUUCGAGAGGACUGCUGGAGGUAUCAGAAGUGCGAAUGCUGACAUGAGUAACGUUAAAGCGGGUGAAAAGCCCGCUCGCCGUAAGCCCAAGGUUUCCUGCUCUACGUUCAUCGGAGCAGGGUGAGUCGGCCCCUAAGGCCAGGCUGAGAAGCGUAGUCGAUGGGAAGCAGAUUAAUAUUUCUGCACCAUGUGCAAGUGCGAUGGGGGGACGGAGUGCGAAAGAUCAUCCGGGUGUUGGAUGUCCCGGUUUGUGAGUGUAGAAGGCCGACAGGCAAAUCCGUCGGCGGAUCUUCGAGACAAAGCAUCGAGGUUCUACGGAACCGAAGUGAUCGGAAGUGCUUCCAGGAAAAGCCUCUAAGCUUCAGCUUGCAUAUGACCGUACCGUAAACCGACACUGGUGGGCGAGUUGAAUAUACUCAGGCGCUUGAGAGAACUCGGGAGAAGGAACUCGGCAAAUUGACACCGUAACUUCGGGAUAAGGUGUGCCUUUGUAGCGUGAAGAGAGAAACACUCGGAGCGUGAAGAGGCCUCAGAGAAUCGGUGGCUGCAACUGUUUAUUAAAAACACAGCACUCUGCAAAGACGAAAGUCGACGUAUAGGGUGUGAUGCCUGCCCGGUGCUGGAAGAUUAAGUGAUGGGGUGAGAGCUCCUGAUCGAAGUCCCAGUAAACGGCGGCCGUAACUAUAACGGUCCUAAGGUAGCGAAAUUCCUUGUCGGGUAAGUUCCGACCUGCACGAAUGGCAUAAUGAUGGCCACACUGUCUCCUCCCGAGACUCAGUGAAGUUGAAAUGUUUGUGAUGAUGCAAUCUCCCCGCGGCUAGACGGAAAGACCCCAUGAACCUUUACUGUAGCUUUGCAUUGGACUUUGAACCGAUUUGUGUAGGAUAGGCGGGAGGCAGAGAAAGCGCAACGCCAGUUGUGCCGGAGCCGACGUUGAAAUACCGCCCUGAUUUGUUUGAGGUUCUAACCGCGACCCGUAAGCCGGGUCCGGGACCGUGCAUGGCAGGCAGUUUGACUGGGGCGGUCUCCUCCUAAAGGGUAACGGAGGAGUACAAAGGUACGCUAGGUACGGUCGGAAAUCGUGCUGAUAGUGCAAAGGCAAAAGCGUGCUUGACUGCGAGACCGACAAGUCGAGCAGAUGCGAAAGCAGGUCUUAGUGAUCCGGUGGCUCUGUAUGGAAGGGCCAUCGCUCAACGGAUAAAAGGUACUCUGGGGAUAACAGGCUGAUACCGCCCAAGAGUUCAUAUCGACGGCGGUGUUUGGCACCUCGAUGUCGGCUCAUC